GAUGAACGCUGGCGGCGUGCCUAAUACAUGCAAGUCGAGCGAACGGACGAGAAGCUUUCUUCUCUGAUGUUAGCGGCUGACGGGUGAGUAACACGUGGAUAACCUACCUAUAUGACUGGGAUAACUUCGGGAAACCGUAGCUAAUACCGGAUAAUAUUUUGAACCGCAUGGUUCAAAAGUUAAAGACGGUCUUGCUGUCACUUAUAGAUGGAUCCGCGCUGCAUUAGCUAGUUGGUAAGGUAACGGCUUACCAAGGCAACGAUGCAUAGCCGACCUGAGAGGAUGAUCAGCCACACUGGAACUGAGACACGGUCCAGACUCCUACGGGAGGCAGCAGUAGGGAAUAUUCCGCAAUGGGCGAAAGCCUGACGGAGCAACGCCGCGUGAGUGAUGAAGGUCUUCGGAUCGUAAAACUCUGUUAUUAGGGAAGAACAGAUGUGUAAGUAACUGUGCACAUCUUGACGGUACCUAAUCAGAAAGCCACGGCUAACUACGUG
RNAcentral lists this ribosomal RNA (497 nucleotides) under uncultured bacterium. RNAcentral's name for it is "partial 16S ribosomal RNA". It matches the Rfam family "Bacterial small subunit ribosomal RNA", at positions 28 to 507 of the family's 1533-position model. The record is from RNAcentral.